UACGAAGGUGGCGAGCGUUACUCGGAAUUACUAGGCGUAAAGGGCAGGUAGGUGGUUUGGUAAGUCUGUUGUGUAAGCUCCCGGCUUAACUGGGAGAGGUCAACAGAUACUACUAGGCUUGAGUAUAGGAGAGGGUACUGGAAUUCCCGGUGUAGCGGUGAAAUGCGCAGAGAUCGGGAGGAACAUCAAUGGCGAAAGCAGGUACCUGGACUAUUGCUGACACUCAACUGCGAAAGCUAGGGGAGCAAACAGG
Molecule: ribosomal RNA, 253 nt
Filed under: uncultured bacterium
Lineage: Bacteria
Description: partial 16S ribosomal RNA
Rfam family: Bacterial small subunit ribosomal RNA
Source: RNAcentral